CCUACGGGAGGCAGCAGUAGGGAAUCUUCCACAAUGGGCGAAAGCCUGAUGGAGCAACGCCGCGUGGGUGAAGAAGGUCUUCGGAUCGUAAAACCCUGUUGGUAGAGAAGAAAGUGCGUGAGAGUAACUGUUCACGUGUCGACGGUAUCGAACCAGAAAGCCACGGCUAACUACGUGCCAGCAGCCGCGGUAAUACGUAGGUGGCAAGCGUUAUCCGGAUUUAUUGGGCGUAAAGGGAACGCAGGCGGUCUUUUACGUCUGAUGUGAAAGCCUUCGGCUUAACCGGAGUAGUGCAUUGGAAACUGGGAGACUUGAGUGCAGAAGAGGCGAGUGGAACUCCAUGUGUAGCGGUUAACUGCGUAGAUAUAUGGAAGCACACCAGUGGCGAACGCGGCUCUCUGGUCUGUACCUGACGCUGAGGUUCGAAAGCGUGGGUAGCAAACAGGAUUAGAUACCCCUGUAGUC
Molecule: ribosomal RNA, 465 nt
Filed under: uncultured bacterium
Lineage: Bacteria
Description: partial 16S ribosomal RNA
Rfam family: Bacterial small subunit ribosomal RNA
Source: RNAcentral